GAGUUGUUCGAUCAGUCGCUAGAGCCGUUGACUCUUAAUCAAUGGGGCGCAGGUUCGACCCCUGUACGACCCGCCA
This 76-nucleotide transfer RNA is filed under the name Serratia marcescens. Its description in RNAcentral is "tRNA-Lys". It matches the Rfam family "tRNA". Rfam says of the family: Transfer RNA (tRNA) molecules are approximately 80 nucleotides in length. Their secondary structure includes four short double-helical elements and three loops (D, anti-codon, and T loops). Further hydrogen bonds mediate the characteristic L-shaped molecular structure. tRNAs have two regions of fundamental functional importance: the anti-codon, which is responsible for specific mRNA codon recognition, and the 3' end, to which the tRNAs corresponding amino acid is attached (by aminoacyl-tRNA synthetases). tRNAs cope with the degeneracy of the genetic code in two manners: having more than one tRNA (with a specific anti-codon) for a particular amino acid; and 'wobble' base-pairing, i.e. permitting non-standard base-pairing at the 3rd anti-codon position. Lineage: Bacteria; Pseudomonadati; Pseudomonadota; Gammaproteobacteria; Enterobacterales; Yersiniaceae. RNAcentral also lists the same sequence under 21 other names. The record is from RNAcentral.